GAAAAAAUGUCUUUGGGCUAGCUUCUUGCAGCUCUAUAAAUACAGAAUACAGGCUCCGGCAUUUUGCUUCAUCUUAGGUUAAGGAGAGAGUGUAAUCCAUCCAGAAAGGGGGUACCAGAGCUUGCUGUCCUCCUCUGAAUGUGCAAGGGACUGUCCCUACUGUCCACAGGAUGCUGGCAUUACAGCGCUGAAAGAAGAGGUGCUCUAGAGCAUGAGCAAUGAAGUUUGGGUCCUGCAGAAGUCCUUUGCUAAAACCCUCAGAGGAGAACGGAUUCCUUUGACCAGCCAGGGAAGGCACUGCACACAAUAGCUUGGAGGAAUAAUAGAAGGCUCAGAGAAGACGUCAAACUCUGGUAAGAUACUGGGAUGCAGAUGCAUUUGGGAAGGCUACAGCAAUUACAGUGCC
This 406-nucleotide long non-coding RNA is filed under the name Anas platyrhynchos (mallard). RNAcentral describes it as "lncRNA (ENSAPLG00020012097.1)". Lineage: Eukaryota; Metazoa; Chordata; Aves; Anseriformes; Anatidae. The record is from RNAcentral.